Molecule: ribosomal RNA, 549 nt
Filed under: uncultured bacterium
Lineage: Bacteria
Description: bacterial SSU rRNA
Rfam family: Bacterial small subunit ribosomal RNA
Source: RNAcentral
UGGGGAAUAUUGGACAAUGGGCGAAGGCCUGAUCCAGCCAUGCCGCGUGUGUGAAGAAGGCCUUUUGGUUGUAAAGCACUUUAAGUGGGGAGGAAAAGCUUAUGGUUAAUACCCAUAAGCCCUGACGUUACCCACAGAAUAAGCACCGGCUAACUCUGUGCCAGCAGCCGCGGUAAUACAGAGGGUGCAAGCGUUAAUCGGAAUUACUGGGCGUAAAGCGCGCGUAGGUGGUUAUUUAAGUCAGAUGUGAAAGCCCCGGGCUUAACCUGGGAACUGCAUCUGAUACUGGAUAACUAGAGUAGGUGAGAGGGGAGUAGAAUUCCAGGUGUAGCGGUGAAAUGCGUAGAGAUCUGGAGGAAUACCGAUGGCGAAGGCAGCUCCCUGGCAUCAUACUGACACUGAGGUGCGAAAGCGUGGGUAGCAAACAGGAUUAGAUACCCUGGUAGUCCACGCCGUAAACGAUGUCUACCAGUCGUUGGGUCUUUUAAAGACUUAGUGACGCAGUUAACGCAAUAAGUAGACCGCCUGGGGAGUACGGCCGCAAGGUUA